GAAAAUUGGUGGAUUUCAAGUAAUCAAGCAAUCAAAGCUGGUGAGUUAUUCGACAAGGGCAAAGAAAUUGUACCCGAGGAUCGAUAGUUGGAGUACUAUAGAAAUUCGACUCCUGAAAUAGCUGGGUAGUAUUAAAUUAACCCUAUCAUGCUGUCAAAAUUUUAUUGUAUGGUGGGUAUUGCUUGCUGCAGUGAGCUAGAUUCUUUGAACUAGC
Non-coding RNA from Theobroma cacao (cacao), 214 nucleotides. The record is from RefSeq and is a predicted model, not a curated record. Lineage: Eukaryota; Viridiplantae; Streptophyta; Magnoliopsida; Malvales; Malvaceae.